Solanum pennellii is the source of this 2223-nucleotide RNA transcript. It is a transcript of the gene named chromatin-remodeling complex subunit ies6, with no coding region annotated. The record is from RefSeq and is a predicted model, not a curated record. Lineage: Eukaryota; Viridiplantae; Streptophyta; Magnoliopsida; Solanales; Solanaceae. The transcript is spliced from 5 exons.
UUAAUUCCCCUUGUCUUCUGGUACCCCUUUAUUUCCCCGUCGGAGAAUCAUCGGCAGGAACUUCACCACCGUAAAUAGCCGUCAUCAAUCGGCGGUCGGAGCUGAAUUAAUGGAGCGAGAAGUGUUAGAAGCAGAACUAGUACUUCCAACUCACAUGAAAUUUAAGAAGAUUCAGAUGUACGACAAGUACCCUAAAGGACAAGCUAGAGGACGGCACUGGAAACAUCUCAAGCAGAUUAUACAAGCAGAAAAUUACGAAAAUUAUCCUCCUCAUCUACCUACUUAUGUUAACAUUGAAACGCCACCUUCUAUGCAUCCUGGCAAAAAGAUAUGUGACAUAACAGGAUUCGAGGCACCAUAUUUUGACCCAAGAACUAAACUCCGUUAUGCUAAUACUGAGGUUUUUAAGACAAUAAGGUCGCUCCCUAAUGACCAUGUUCAGAGGUACUUGGCUCUCAGAAACGCAGCUGUUGUUUUGAGAUAGGUGCAGAACGCAGAAUAGAUAGUUGUAAAUUAAUGUGGAAAGUAGUGGACGUUUGAAGUUGUCGUUUCUGAAUGCUCAGGGCUGGGAACCUCCCCUUAAUUCUCGUUGUUACUGAGCUAGGGAGGUCUGAUAAUGUUGGGAAAGAUUGUUCUUCGUCAAUUGGUUUGUUAACCAUGGCCAUGGAAGUUUCAUUCUUUUACCAGUCCUCCUAGCCAACAACUUGCAUCGCUCAAAAUAAUGUGAUGAGCCAUCCCUUUUUGUCAUUCACCACCUUGUCCUAUCUCUGCUCUCCCGAAUUAUAAACACGUACGGGCUUGAGUGGUGGCUGCUGCUCUUAAAAGAGAAGAGAGCUCUGUGACUUCCGAUUCAGGCGGGAUGAAGUGAUUCCAUUUCGAAGGUCCUAAGGGACGUCCAUAGAAAAUUCUACACCCCUACUUGUGAAGAAAUGAAGGGUAAGUUUCAUCUCACCCCAAUUUGUGACAAUAAUUUUUGUAAGAAAAUAAACUGUUAUCAUAAUUCUUUGGUCAAAUACAUAAACAGGUCUCUAAACUUGUUGGUUUUUUUCCCUCGGGUAUUUCAACUAUGCUAUUUUCCUAUUGAAUCAUUGAACCACCCAUAAUUUGUUCCUUUUAAACAAACAUCGUUGGCUGAUGUGGAAUCAGAUUUUGUGAGGGGUAUUGAUAGAGGACACAUAUUUUGUUCCAAAACUCAUUAGUCCAAUUGAUAAUGAAAAUGUUUGAAAAUAAUUGUAUUUUACUUGAAGUCAUUUGAACACAUUAGAAAACAGAUGAGAUCCAUAGAGUUUUAUUCAUUCCUUCAAUCAAAAUCAUUACAAUACGAACACAAUUGAAGGCAUUUACAAUAGAAAAGCUGAUCAAAAUCAACCAACAGUGUUUAAAAGGAAUAAAUUAUGAGCGGUUCAAUGAUUCAAUAGGAGAAUGACGUAGUUGAGGUACCUGAGGUGAAAAAUCAAACAAGUUUAGGAAUCUAUUUAUGAGUUCGGCCUAAUUCUUUUUUUAAAUAUGUCACUUGUAUACGUGUCACAUUUUCAUUGACGUUUGAUUUAAUUAUACAUGUCACUUAUUAGUUAUAUAUUAAUUUUUUUUUCAUAAAUAAUAAUGAGAAUGUUACAUUGAUCUGGGCUUCAAAUAGCACCAAAUUACAAAAGCCCAUCCAACUAAUAUUGGGCUUUUCAUCAAUCCAUACCAUAAAAUCUUAAACCCUAGCAGCUCCCUAUAUAUAUAUAUAACUCUUCCCUCUCUUGAAACUUACGGAGCAAUAAUUUCAAGCUUCAAUGCUUUCAUUUUAUUUUCUUUUGUUAAUUUUACUCAUAAUUUUUAUUAAUUUAUUUUGAAUCUGUGCAUAAUUAAGCCGAUGCUCUGGAUAAUUUGAAUGAAGGUAGCAUGGUUAUAUGUACAGAAAUUGAAUUAAUAGAGUCGACAUGUCUGCUACCUCUGAUUUCUCCAUGAUUUGGUGGCCUGGUUUAGACUCACAUUCAUUUUUUCCCCUUAAUUUUAUAUAUACAAUGUAAUUUUUCAACCAAGAUUAAUUGAAUCUGUGCGCAGUUAAGCCGAUGCUCAUUUUUUUCCCCUUAAUUUUAUAUAUAUGAUUGUAAUUUUUCAACGAAGAUUAAUUGGAUCUGUGCGCAAUUAAGCCAAUGCUCAUUUUUUUCCUUAAUUUUAUAUGUAUAUGAUGUAAUUUUUCAACGAAGAUUAAUUGGAUCUGUACGCAAUUAAGCC